Molecule: ribosomal RNA, 422 nt
Filed under: uncultured archaeon
Lineage: Archaea
Description: partial 16S ribosomal RNA
Rfam family: Archaeal small subunit ribosomal RNA
Source: RNAcentral
CUACGGGAGGCACCAGUUAGGAAUAUUCUACAAUGCGCGAAAGCGUGAUAGAUUGAGUCAGAGUGCGUUUCAAAUUGGAAUGCUUUUGCCAAAUGUAAAAAGUUUGGCGAAUAAGGACUGGGUAAGACGAGUGCCAGCCGCCGCGGUAAUACUCGCGGUCCAAGUCGCAGCCAUUUUUAUUGGGUCUAAAACAUCCGUAGCUUGCUUCUUAAGUUCCUUGUGAAAUUUUAUAUCUUAAAUAUAGAGCGUGCAGGGAGUACUGGGAAGCUAGAGACUGGGAGACGUAAGAAGUACAUUCAAAGUAGCGGUUAAAUGUGUUAAUCUUGGAUGGACUCACAAUAGCGAAGGCAUCUUACGAGAACAGUUCUGACAGUAAGGGAUGAAGGCUAGGGGCGCAAAACGGAUUAGAUACCCUAGUAGUC